UACCAAUGCGAGGCAGGAGUUUCUUUUGAUUAUGUCACUAGGAUGUUUCAGCAAUGACCAGACCAGUCGAACACCAUCAUUGAUGUGCUCUGGAUCGUUGAUGAUGUCCAUGCAUUGUUCAUUUUGCGCGCACUCCUUUAUCACCAAUGCUACUGUAACUCAAAUCUACAGAGUACGUGCGAGAAAACUUUAUGGGAUAAUUUAAGGAACAAAGACGAAAUCGGCCUUAAAAUAUUGAAUCAGAGGAUUAAAACGAAGAUAAUGGCCACUUUAAAGUAGCAAAUAGAGAUUAGAGAUACUCAGAAGUACCGAAGGGUAUUAAGAGCCAAGAUUAGGAAAAUAAUGAUAAUACCUCUCAUCACAGAUAAAGAAACAACUAUAAACAACUAAAACCCGAUCUUUACAACAUUCCGCCAGUGCUCCUACAACAUUCGCCUGCACGUCAUCAUCUUCGUGUUCUUCUAAAAAUGGCACUAAAGCAGCGACCAAACCAUUUUGAUUGAAUCUUAUUACGUUCUCUGGACUUAUGGCACAUUUCCAUAUUCCGCCUGUGACUGCAGCUAACAAUUGUUUAUUAGCCCGGACUUCUUCGCAUUGUAAAAGCUUGCACAAUAUAUCCAGACCAGAUGUCUGGCGAACCAUGUCCCUGGCAAUUUUGUGUCGUACAACGUCACAGAUAAUAUCUGUGGUCUCGAACGCUUUGCGAAAUACGUUCUGUAAUUGUGAAGGAAUUAUCGAUGGACAUAUGAAACGUUCCAUGAGCUUCACCACACCAAACUUGUGAAGUACGUCUCUCACUUUCGGACUACUGCUCAGAGAAUCUAAAACUUUAGCACAGCCUAUGGCAACCGCAACUAAUUCCUUGUUAGUUUCGUUCAACUCAUUGUACGAUGUUCGAAGAAUAGAAUCUGGCACGUCCAUCACAUCUAACUAUUAAAGGUUCGUCAUCUGUACUUUCUUCCUCCUGUUUUUCGCUGAUGUAACGGACUCGAGGACCGAAUGGUUGUCCAGUGACUGCUGAUAUUAGUGGCUUCGAUGGUUCUUCCGGUUCGAUUACUUCCAGCAUAUCCGGCUCGAUUCUUUAUUCGAAAAAAAAGAAAAAUAGAGAAGAUCAAAAUGAAAUGUCAUAAUUGUAGAUAGUUGAAAUAAAAUCAUAGGUUUCUUUAAUUAAGCGAUUAAACGCAUAAUGCAAUUAUUUAAUUACGAAAUAUCGUGAUAUUACAAAUACUUACAUAUGUUAAAUACUAAGGCUGUGAGACAAAAAAUAUUAAAAAACAAAUAACUCUGUGAAAUGACGGCUCUGGAACAAAAGAACACAUAUAUUCAAGCACAAUAAUGUAUAAUCAUAAUUGAUGCAUGGGAAAAGGAAUUUACUGACCAAAUAUCGUUUUACGCAACUAAUUAGAUCGAUGUAAAAGCAUACGAUGCACGUGACGUAAGCGUAAGCUUCAAAAUAAAAACCCUGGAGAAUGUGGCAAGUAGUGGCUAAGAUUUACAUUUUUGAAUUAUUAGUUUUUUUAUUUCAAUCUGUUUACUGUUGCAGCCAAACUCAUCGUAACUAAGAAUCUUCGGAUUCUUUUAUCUUGUAAUGUGUAUCGUAUCGUAUCGUGUAUGUAAGUCGUAAGUCAUUUUUCUUACCUAAGAGAGCGCGUUCUACGGUAUAUAAUACUGCCAAUUUGUCUAUUUCUUUUUAGCAAAAUUUACAGACGUUACUGAAACAUAGAUAAAUACAGUUUUUGCAAAAUGUAAAAUGCUAAUGAAAAGGAUUGUAUAGAUCAUUAGUAAAAAAAUGUAAAAAAGAAUCUAAUAAUACGAGUCACUUUAAAUGUUACAGAAUGAAGAACUUUAUGGAAAAAGGUGGAAGUACGGAAAAUCUAAAAGCGGUUUGUAAAAUUGCUAAGAAAAUCAAAUGUUCCGUAUACACAUAUAUGCUACUCCAUUUUCAGUGGUGUUGCUUUUAAUAUCCUUGUCAAUAUGGCUUUGUAUAUGCCGCUGGGGAUUUCGGUAUAAUUUGAAAGACCGAGAAAUUUUAUCCUGUUUAAUUUUAUACUUCAUCGUCAUUACUAUGUUGAACAUGCUUUUUUUGGGUCAUAUGCGAUUUUAUUGCGAACGUCCACGAGGAAUUAAGAAUUAAGAACCACAUACUGUAACAG
Long non-coding RNA from Bombus huntii, 2153 nucleotides. RefSeq lists it as uncharacterized. The transcript has 9 exons. The record is from RefSeq and is a predicted model, not a curated record. NCBI's taxonomy places the organism in Eukaryota, Metazoa, Arthropoda, Insecta, Hymenoptera, Apidae.